AGGCUUAACACAUGCAAGUCGAGCGCCCCGCAAGGGGAGCGGCAGACGGGUGAGUAACGCGUGGGAACGUACCCUUUACUACGGAAUAACGCAGGGAAACUUGUGCUAAUACCGUAUGUGCCCUUCGGGGGAAAGAUUUAUCGGUAAAGGAUCGGCCCGCGUUGGAUUAGCUAGUUGGUGGGGUAAAGGCCUACCAAGGCGACGAUCCAUAGCUGGUCUGAGAGGAUGAUCAGCCACAUUGGGACUGAGACACGGCCCAAACUCCUACGGGAGGCAGCAGUGGGGAAUAUUGGACAAUGGGCGCAAGCCUGAUCCAGCCAUGCCGCGUGAGUGAUGAAGGCCCUAGGGUUGUAAAGCUCUUUCACCGGAGAAGAUAAUGACGGUAUCCGGAGAAGAAGCCCCGGCUAACUUCGUGCCAGCAGCCGCGGUAAUACGAAGGGGGCUAGCGUUGUUCGGAAUUACUGGGCCGUAAAGCGCACGUAGGCGGAUCGAUCAGUCAGGGGUG
This 505-nucleotide ribosomal RNA is filed under the name Rhizobium etli. RNAcentral's name for it is "bacterial SSU rRNA". It matches the Rfam family "Bacterial small subunit ribosomal RNA", at positions 44 to 596 of the family's 1533-position model. The record is from RNAcentral. Lineage: Bacteria; Pseudomonadati; Pseudomonadota; Alphaproteobacteria; Hyphomicrobiales; Rhizobiaceae.